GUGAACGCUGGCGGUAGGCCUAACACAUGCCAGUCGAACGGCAGCACAGUAAGCGCUUGCUCUUACGGGUGGCGAGUGGCGGACGGGUGAGGAAUACAUCGGAAUCUACUUUUUCGUGGGGGAUAACGUAGGGAAACUUACGCUAAUACCGCAUACGACCUACGGGUGAAAGCAGGGGAUCUUCGGACCUUGCGCGAUUGAAUGAGCCGAUGUCGGAUUAGCUAGUUGGCGGGGUAAAGGCCCACCAAGGCGACGAUCCGUAGCUGGUCUGAGAGGAUGAUCAGCCACACUGGGACUGAGACACGGUCCAGACUCCUACGGGAGGCAGCAGUGGGGAAUAUUGGACAAUGGGCGCAAGCCUGAUCCAGCCAUACCGCGUGGGUGAAGAAGGCCUUCGGGUUGUAAAGCCCUUUUGUUGGGAAAGAAAAGCAGCAGGUUAAUACCCCGCUGUUCUGACGGUACCCAAAGAAUAAGCACCGGCUAACUUCGUG
This 491-nucleotide ribosomal RNA is filed under the name uncultured bacterium. RNAcentral describes it as "partial 16S ribosomal RNA". It matches the Rfam family "Bacterial small subunit ribosomal RNA", at positions 29 to 507 of the family's 1533-position model. The record is from RNAcentral.